AUAAAGGAUGUAUUUGAGAGCCACAUGUCAAGAUAGAUCCAUUGGAUGAGUUUGGAAAGUAUGAGCGAGGAGGAGUACAGUCCUCCUAAAUUGCCUCGGUUGGAUGAGUUAUUUUCCGAUAUACUACCACCGGUGUGGCCCCUUUACGGUGAGGUGAGGCUCAAUCCAUUAGCCCCAGUCUUCUUUCCUCCUACGCCUUUGG
Non-coding RNA from Pocillopora verrucosa, 202 nucleotides. NCBI's taxonomy places the organism in Eukaryota, Metazoa, Cnidaria, Anthozoa, Scleractinia, Pocilloporidae. The record is from RefSeq and is a predicted model, not a curated record.